AUCGCUUCUCGGCCUUUUGGCUAAGAUCAAGUGUAGGAGAGGAAUAUGGAAUAAUUUAGGAAUGAAACACAGUGGCAUCCCUUUUAAUAAUGCAAUUCUGUCUACUCAAGAUGUAAGGCAACACGUUUACCUGUUAACAAAUAUCACAGCCAUUUGAGACAGAAAAAAAGGUUACUAUAUUGCUAAUUCUU
Molecule: small nuclear RNA, 191 nt
Organism: Mirounga angustirostris (Northern elephant seal)
Lineage: Eukaryota; Metazoa; Chordata; Mammalia; Carnivora; Phocidae
Product: U2 spliceosomal RNA
Exons: 1
Source: RefSeq, a predicted model, not a curated record